Non-coding RNA from Megalops atlanticus (tarpon), 79 nucleotides. Lineage: Eukaryota; Metazoa; Chordata; Actinopteri; Elopiformes; Megalopidae. The record is from the annotation of a GenBank genome assembly.
GGCAGUGUAGCGUAGUGGUUAAGGAACAGGGCUCGUAACCGAAAGGUUGCCGGUUCGAUUCCCCAUGGGGGCACUGCUG